GACUUGUUCCAGCCAGUGACAUCAGGAGGAAUCCCCAGCCAUUAGGAGCCCAAUCAAAGCUAGGACAGCUUUUCAACCAAUCAGGGGAGGGUGCAGAGCAAUCCUAAGCAAACAAAAAAAAAAUGCUAUCUGAAGACAACCCAGUUGUGUCUCCCAAAUCAUCAGAACUGGCAGCUUAGAAUCAAUACUGGAAGUCUACAAAAAUGAAAAUGUGAGAUUAAACAAAGAUGCAACUGGUGACGAACAAUGAAAACAAUUUAGGAUCAAAGAGUUUCAA
Anolis sagrei ordinatus is the source of this 277-nucleotide non-coding RNA. The record is from RefSeq and is a predicted model, not a curated record. NCBI's taxonomy places the organism in Eukaryota, Metazoa, Chordata, Lepidosauria, Squamata, Anolidae.